This 48-nucleotide transfer RNA is filed under the name Mammut americanum (American mastodon). RNAcentral's name for it is "partial tRNA-Thr". The record is from RNAcentral. Lineage: Eukaryota; Metazoa; Chordata; Mammalia; Proboscidea; Mammutidae.
AUUACAAUGGCCUUGUAAGCCAUAAAUGAAAGCUAUUUUCUAAGGGUA